UAGGCUGCAGUGUUUGUGUAAUUUACAUGAUGAUUCAUAAAAAGCCUUCAAUGGUUUACAUGAAUUAACAAUAAUUAAAAUUUAAGUUCAAUUUCCAUUCAAAAUAAUUUUAUAUUUUUCAUCUCCCAUUCAUUCAUAUUCAACAUUUUUCGAAGUAGUCAUUUUAUCACGCCAGAACCAAUUUUUGUCCAUCCCCCCAAACUAUAUUCAUUAUUAAGAGUUUCAACACUCAAAUAUUUUUGCAAAAAAGUGAUUGGAUCAUUUCAUCAUAAAUUGUCAUGUCAUUUUCCUAUCCAUAACUCCACAUGCUUCUGUUCUUGUAUACAAUGUGAUAAAUAUAUUUAUUAUUCUUCAUGUUAAAAUGCCAUUUUUUAUUAGCUAAUACAAGUGUGUUAAUUUACUCUAACAUGGCUGAGCGGCACAGUUUUUUGAAUGUCACCCUCUCGGCUAGACCAAUAAAAAAUCGAUAGUUUAAACGACAAUGAAUUGAAUCUACAUCAAGUUAUUA
This 508-nucleotide long non-coding RNA is filed under the name Mytilus galloprovincialis (Mediterranean mussel). The record is from RNAcentral. Lineage: Eukaryota; Metazoa; Mollusca; Bivalvia; Mytilida; Mytilidae.